This 429-nucleotide ribosomal RNA is filed under the name Acidobacteriota bacterium. Its description in RNAcentral is "Acidobacteria bacterium partial 16S ribosomal RNA". It matches the Rfam family "Bacterial small subunit ribosomal RNA", at positions 355 to 776 of the family's 1533-position model. Lineage: Bacteria; Pseudomonadati; Acidobacteriota. The record is from RNAcentral.
UGGGGAAUUUUGGACAAUGGGGGAAACCCUGAUCCAGCCAUCCCGCGUGUGCGAUGAAGGCCUUCGGGUUGUAAAGCACUUUUGGCAGGAAAGAAACGUCAUGGGUUAAUACCCCGUGAAACUGACGGUACCUGCAGAAUAAGCACCGGCUAACUACGUGCCAGCAGCCGCGGUAAUACGUAGGGUGCAAGCGUUAAUCGGAAUUACUGGGCGUAAAGCGUGCGCAGGCGGUUCGGAAAGAAAGAUGUGAAAUCCCAGAGCUCAACUUUGGAACUGCAUUUUUAACUACCGGGCUAAAGUGUGUCAGAGGGAGGUGGAAUUCCGCGUGUAGCAGUGAAAUGCGUAGAUAUGCGGAGGAACACCGAUGGCGAAGGCAGCCUCCUGGGAUAACACUGACGCUCAUGCACGAAAGCGUGGGGAGCAAACAGG